GCCGAAGUAGCUCAGAUUGGUUAGAGCGCCAGACUCAUAAUCUGGAAGUCGCGUGUUCAAGUCACGCCUUCGGCA
This 75-nucleotide transfer RNA is filed under the name Methanobacteriota archaeon. RNAcentral describes it as "tRNA-Met". It matches the Rfam family "tRNA". Rfam says of the family: Transfer RNA (tRNA) molecules are approximately 80 nucleotides in length. Their secondary structure includes four short double-helical elements and three loops (D, anti-codon, and T loops). Further hydrogen bonds mediate the characteristic L-shaped molecular structure. tRNAs have two regions of fundamental functional importance: the anti-codon, which is responsible for specific mRNA codon recognition, and the 3' end, to which the tRNAs corresponding amino acid is attached (by aminoacyl-tRNA synthetases). tRNAs cope with the degeneracy of the genetic code in two manners: having more than one tRNA (with a specific anti-codon) for a particular amino acid; and 'wobble' base-pairing, i.e. permitting non-standard base-pairing at the 3rd anti-codon position. The record is from RNAcentral. RNAcentral also lists the same sequence under 2 other names. Lineage: Archaea; Methanobacteriati; Methanobacteriota.